GCAGCCCGCCCCCGCGGGCCCUAACGUCCCGGCCCGACCGAGCUGCCAGGACGCCCAGGCGGGAGGGACCGGGAGGAGAAGGGCAGCCUCCCCUCUCGGUCCUGCCCAGUAUUAGGUUCCCAGAACGCUCUGGAAGAGACAGAGAGGGAGAGGUGGAAAUAGAGCCAAGGGAAGGGAAGAACUCCGUGCGAUUUUCCUCGUCUGAAAACCGCAUGAAGAUGAAAUCGGGGUCCUGGCGCUGCUGAAGUGAGUAAGCAGCCCCUGUGCCUUUUGGCACUUGAACAUCUCUCCCUGGGCUUUCUGUGGAUUCCAAGGAUGCAACUGGUGAGUGCUUUCACCACUGGUGCCACCGCUCCCCCACCCCACCAGGCAGGCCCCACAUUUGGGGGCCCCAUCCCAACAGGUGACACCACAGCAACUACAGUUGAGUGUGUCACACACCUCGGGGCACUUCAGCCAGACAACUGAAGAUUUAUUCUCUUCAGAGGGUACAAAAUAUCUUUAGCCACAUGAUCAACCAGUACAGGGAGGUUGAGCAAGAAGCGGGGGAGGCACAUUUCGGUGAAGUCUUCUCAGUGAGCACUGGCAUGACGGCCAGGCACAGGGGCUCUGGAGGGAGACGGCCUGGCUCUGAGUGCUGGCGCCCACCAUCACCGGGCUCGGGCCCAGGGAAAGUCAGCUCAGCCUUUCAGUGCCCGAGUGUUCUCGUCUGCAACAAGGGUGGUCAGGACCUACACGCUCUCAGGGUUGUUACGUGCACUAGAUACGCUACACACGGUACAGUACCGAGGAACUGUGUGCGGGUCACACAGUGAAGCUCUGAGAAAGCUGCUAGUAGUAUGAUACUUAAGACUUUGGUUUCCACUUCUGACUGUAC
Long non-coding RNA from Zalophus californianus (California sea lion), 877 nucleotides. RefSeq lists it as uncharacterized. The transcript has 5 exons. Lineage: Eukaryota; Metazoa; Chordata; Mammalia; Carnivora; Otariidae. The record is from RefSeq and is a predicted model, not a curated record.